Molecule: ribosomal RNA, 492 nt
Filed under: uncultured bacterium
Lineage: Bacteria
Description: partial 16S ribosomal RNA
Rfam family: Bacterial small subunit ribosomal RNA
Source: RNAcentral
AGUGAACGCUGGCGGUAGGCCUAACACAUGCAAGUCGAACGGCAGCACAGUAAGAGCUUGCUCUUACGGGUGGCGAGUGGCGGACGGGUGAGGAAUACAUCGGAAUCUACUUUUUCGUGGGGGAUAACGUAGGGAAACUUACGCUAAUACCGCAUACGACCUACGGGUGAAAGCAGGGGAUCUUCGGACCUUGCGCGAUCGAAUGAGCCGAUGUCGGAUUAGCUAGUUGGCGGGGUAAAGGCCCACCAAGGCGACGAUCCGUAGCUGGUCUGAGAGGAUGAUCAGCCACACUGGAACUGAGACACGGUCCAGACUCCUACGGGAGGCAGCAGUGGGGAAUAUUGGACAAUGGGCGCAAGCCUGAUCCAGCCAUACCGCGUGGGUGAAGAAGGCCUUCGGGUUGUAAAGCCCUUUUAUUGGGAAAGAAAAGCAGCAGGUUAAUACCCCGCUGUUCUGACGGUACCCAAAGAAUAAGCACCGGCUAACCUCGUG